Molecule: ribosomal RNA, 1477 nt
Filed under: uncultured Bordetella sp.
Lineage: Bacteria; Pseudomonadati; Pseudomonadota; Betaproteobacteria; Burkholderiales; Alcaligenaceae
Description: partial 16S-23S ribosomal RNA intergenic spacer
Rfam family: Bacterial small subunit ribosomal RNA
Source: RNAcentral
AGUUCGAUCAUGGCUCAGAUUGAACGCGCUGGCGGGAUGCUUUACACAUGCAAGUCGAACUGGCGGCACGGACUUCGGUCUGGUGGCGAGUGGCGAACGGGUGAGUAAUGUAUCGGAACGUGCCUAGUGGCAGGGGAUAACUACGCGAAAGCGUAGCGCCUACGCCACGCCCUUCGGGGGAAAGCGGGGGACCUUCGGGCCUCGCACUAUUAAGAGCGGCCGAUAUCGAAGGUUCAGCUAGUUGGUGGGGUAACGGCUCACCAAGGCGACGAUCCGUAGCUGGUUUGAAGAGGACGACCAGCCACACUGGGACUGAGACGGCCCAGACUCCUGCAGGAGGCAGCAGUGGGGGAAUUUUGGACAAUGGGGGAAACCCUGAUCCAGCCAUCCGCGUGUGCGAUGAAGGCCUUCGGGUUGUAAGCGCUUUUUUGGCAGGAAAGAAACGGCACGGGAUAAUACCCAUUGCAACUGACAGUACCUGCAGAAUAAGCACCGGCUAACUGCAUUGCCAGCAGCCGCGGUAAUGCGGGUGCAAGCGUUAAUCGGAAUUACUGGGCGUAAAGCGUGCGCAGGCGGUUCGGAAGAAAGAUGUGAAAUCCCAGAGCUUAACUUUGGAACUGCAUUUUUAACUACCGAGCUAGGUCAGAGGAGAUUGGAGUUCCGCCUGUAGCAGUGAAAUGUAGAUAUGCGGAGGGGAACACCGAUAGCGAAGGCAGCCUCCUGGGAUAACACUGACGCUCAUACGCAGCGUAGGAGCAAACGGAUUAGAUACCCUGGUAGUCCACGCCCUAAACGAUGUCAACUAGCUGUUGGGGCCUUCGGGCCUUGGUAGCGCAGCUAACGCGUGAAGUUGACCGCCUGCAGGAGUACGGUCGCAAGAUUAAAACUCAAAGGAAUUGACGGGGACACCCACAAGCAGUGGAUGAUGUGGAUUAAUUCAGUGCAACGCGAAAAACCGCUACCUACCCUUGACAUGUCUGGAGAUCCGAGAAGUUUGGGAGUGCUCGCAAGAGAACCGGAACACAGGUGCACUGCAUGGCUGUCGUCAGCUCGUGUCGUGAGAUGUUAGGUUAAGUCCCUGUGAAGCGCAACCCUUGUCAUUAGUUGCUACGAAGGGCUUUCAAUGAGACUGCCGGUGACAAACCGGAGGAAGGUGGGGAUGACGUCAAAGUCCUCAUGGCCCUUAUGGGUAGGGCUUCACACACGUCAUACAAUGGUCGGGACAGAGGGUCGCCAACCCGCGAGGGGAGCCAAUCCCAGAAACCCGAUCGUAGUCAAGAUCGCAGUCUGCAACCUCGGCUUCGUGAAGUCGGAAUCGCUAGUAAUCGCGGAUCAGCAUGUCGCGGUGAAUACGUUCCCGGGUCUUGUACACGCCGUCACUGUAAAUUGGGUUUUUUACCAAGUAGUUAGCCUAACCGUAAGGAGGGCGAUUACCACAGUAGGAUUCAUGACACAGGGUGAAGUCGUAACAAGGUAA